This 253-nucleotide ribosomal RNA is filed under the name uncultured bacterium. Its description in RNAcentral is "partial 16S ribosomal RNA". It matches the Rfam family "Bacterial small subunit ribosomal RNA", at positions 524 to 776 of the family's 1533-position model. The record is from RNAcentral.
UACGUAGGGGGCAAGCGUUGUCCGGAAUCAUUGGGCGUAAAGCGCGUGUAGGCGGCCUGGUAAGUCCGUGGUGAAAUCUCUGAGCUUAACUCAGAAACUGCCAUGGAUACUAUUUGUCUUGAAUGUUGUGGAGGUAAGCGGAAUAUGUCAUGUAGCGGUGAAAUGCUUAGAUAUGACAUAGAACACCAAUUGCGAAGGCAGCUUGCUACACAAAUAUUGACGCUGAGGCACGAAAGCGUGGGGAUCAAACAGG